This 501-nucleotide small RNA is filed under the name Pan troglodytes (chimpanzee). RNAcentral's name for it is "processed transcript". The record is from RNAcentral. Lineage: Eukaryota; Metazoa; Chordata; Mammalia; Primates; Hominidae.
AAUCUACAGUUUGAACUGCUUCUUACAGUGGUGCAUCUGAUUUUUAGUAUGUGGAUUCUGAGAGUAUUAAUCAAUUUUUUAUAAUGUUUGGUUUCCUUAUGUUUUCUAUUUCAGAGUACCCGAGUGGCCUUGGACCAUCUGGAGUCUGUGCCUGAGAAACUGAGCCUACUAGAAGAUUUCAAAGACUUCAGAGAUUCCUGCAGUUCAUCUGAGAGAACUGUUGGAAGAUAUUGCAAAUACAGGGUUCACAGAAAUUCUCUUCAGCAUCACCAAGAUGACACCAAGUACAGAACCAAAAGUUUCAAAGGUGACAGAACCUUUCUGGAAGGUUCCCACACUCAUGGGUUAGAUCACUCAUCCUCUUGGCAGGAUCACAGUCGCUUCCUGUCUAGUCCAAGAUUUUCAUACAUGAACUCAUUUACCAAAAGAACUGUUGCUCCAGAUUCAGCUUCAAACAAGGAAGAUGCCACAAUGAAUGGAACAAGUUCACAACCCAAAAAA